GCGGGAGUAGCUCAGUUGGUAGAGCAUCUGGUUGCCAUCCAGAAGGUCGCGAGUUCGAAUCUCGUCUCCCGCUCCA
This 76-nucleotide transfer RNA is filed under the name Deltaproteobacteria bacterium. RNAcentral's name for it is "tRNA-Gly". It matches the Rfam family "tRNA". From Rfam's summary of the family: Transfer RNA (tRNA) molecules are approximately 80 nucleotides in length. Their secondary structure includes four short double-helical elements and three loops (D, anti-codon, and T loops). Further hydrogen bonds mediate the characteristic L-shaped molecular structure. tRNAs have two regions of fundamental functional importance: the anti-codon, which is responsible for specific mRNA codon recognition, and the 3' end, to which the tRNAs corresponding amino acid is attached (by aminoacyl-tRNA synthetases). tRNAs cope with the degeneracy of the genetic code in two manners: having more than one tRNA (with a specific anti-codon) for a particular amino acid; and 'wobble' base-pairing, i.e. permitting non-standard base-pairing at the 3rd anti-codon position. Lineage: Bacteria; Pseudomonadati; Myxococcota; Myxococcia. The record is from RNAcentral.